This 2229-nucleotide long non-coding RNA is filed under the name Gallus gallus (chicken). Lineage: Eukaryota; Metazoa; Chordata; Aves; Galliformes; Phasianidae. The record is from RNAcentral.
GGGGGUGUGAGGGGAGGCUGUGGAGUCCCGGUGAGGCGGAUGUGCACUGCCCUGGGAUGGAUCUGAAUCUUCUUUUCCCUUUUUUUAGUGCAGGGGGUGUUGUGGGUGUGUGCAGACUUUGUGGCUUCUGCCCAGAGAAGCCAGAGUGGCUGAUUCCUGUGAACGGACCAAAGAAUCCUGUUUAAGUGCCUGUAACGAUAUAAACACAACUGUACUGUAAACCUGACCUAUAGGUAGAUAUAUAGAGAUAAUAUUUUUUUUGCAGGGGUUGACAUCCCGAGGGCUUCGAGGCGGGGAUGUCCUGCGUGGGGAAACGUUUGUGUUGUAUGGGUUGGGGGGUUGCAGCGAUGCGUCGCCGGGUUCUGGCUUGGAUUGACUGCGUGUAACUGCCUGGAAUGGGGGGGUGCUGCUGGGGGGGUGGUGGGUCGACUGGAGCUCUCCAUCCUGCAGAGCCUGAAGGUGGUUUGGCCCAUGGGGGGGGUUAUGGGGAGGGGGGGGGGGGGGGGGGAGGGGGGGGAUGCAGAUCGGAGUGGCGGCCCUGGGCUGUGCAGGGCGCUGUGUUUUGUAGGGGAAUGGGAAAUGCUGUUGUUGGCACGCGGCGGUCGGGGCUCUGUGGGAAGAGCAGACUUGUCCUUGAAGCACAGGGAGUGCAGGAGGCCGUUAUCUCACGGUGGGGGCCGUGUCCUUGAAGGGGGGGGGGGGAUGCACAGCCCCCAUCCUCCUCCACUUCGGGGCAGGUCCCGUUCAGAGGCAGCCGCUGUGAUCCCAGCACUGUGAAGCAUUGGGGCUCAUCCCCUAUCUGGAAGCUGAGCUCCUGGGGUCCCCUAUGGGGGUGUGGUUGGUGUUAGGAGGAAUUCUGUCUUCCAAAUGAACCCUGUUGGGUCUCGAGGGCUCCGGGGCGGCUCUGCUGGGUGUGCAGAGAGCAAAAAGAGCCUUUCCCUGAGCUGCCCCUUCUCACCAAGCACCAUCUCAGGCUGGGGUGGUGGGAAGGCAGCUGGGUGCUCCCCGUGAGGCUAACAGACCCAGCAUCUCUACUAACUCCUUUUUGUUCCUGUGACGAUGUACGGGGCGGGCAGACCUGCUCAAUAAAGUCUAGAGACUUGGAAUGUGUCUAGCCAGAUGGCUGCCUUCUUUAGGGGAUGCCGUGGGGGCUCUUUGCACCUAACACCAACUAACCCAGUUUCCCAUCGGUGCAGCUUUGCUCCCUGCCAAGCCGAUCCCAUGCAGGAAGCACCGGUGAUGCCACAGCAGCUCCGGGUGUCACUGUGGCUUUUCCUGCAGGGCAGCUUUGCUUCCGUGGGCCAUUUGCUCACCAGCAGCCUGCAAACUGCUUGGUGCUCUGCUCCGUGCAAAGCUGUCCCAAGGGCAGCUUCCACAUCCUCACCACCGCCGCCCAUUGGAGCCCCACGACACGUAGCAUGCUUCUCUCCACUUCUCCAGGCUGCUGACUCUCUCCCUACAGAAACAGAGGUGCACUAAACUGAGAUAUCCCCCCCCCACCCCCAUUGCAGAUGUGUUUCCCUACAGCUGACAGCUCAGCCUACGUUGAGAUUGCACUUUUGGGUUGUGGAGUGUGCGUGGUGGGACUCUUAUGAAUGGGUUGAAUCCGAAUUUUCUAGACCUUGCAGUGAUACUGUGCUGCUCCUGUGAGGGGGCUUCGGGAAGAUUCCAGUAGCUUGAAUGGCACUUGAUUUUUUUUGUUCUAAGUGUUUGUUUUUUUUUUUCCUACACCUGUAUCACCUGUCAUGCGAUGGGCUUGACAUAGACUCACUAGAUUCUUUAGAAUCUGUUUAAAAAUAAAUACAGUGUAUUCAAAUCUGUUGGGGUUUUUCAUUUGCUUUCUCUGUCAGGGCACGGUGGUGGUGCUGCUGCUGUCCUUAUUGGGAAGAACCAGAACGGAGGGGGGGUUUGGAGCAGCUGUGGGGUCCUGGUUCUCCCCCUGUCCCAAAGCCUGCGGGCACAGAGCUGGCAGCUUUCUGUUUGUAAUGCUGUCCCAUGGCUGUCCUCACUGGGGUCCCUGUUCCCGCUGGUCCCAUGGGUGUGCUGCUCUUUGGUUGCCAUCUGGGCUCUCUGCUGCUCCUGCCUUCCCACAGGUAGCAUCCCCUGCCCGUGGUCACCAACACCGCCUUGCUCCUCUGGUGUAGGGCUGUGUUUGGGGCAGCACUCCCCAGCAAGGUGCUUCCCAAUGGGAUGGGAGGGCUGGGAAGCUGGGGGGAGCCUUUGUCUAGC